AUGAACGCUGGCGGCGUGCCUAAUACAUGCAAGUCGAGCGAACGGACGAGAAGCUUUCUUUUCUGAUGUUAGCGGCGGACGGGUGAGUAACACGUGGAUAACCUACCUAUAAGACUGGGAUAACUUCGGGAAACCGGAGCUAAUACCGGAUAAUAUUUUGAACCGCAUGGUUCAAAAGUGAAAGACGGUCUUGCUGUCACUUAUAGAUGGAUCCGCGCUGCAUUAGCUAGUUGGUAAGGUAACGGCUUACUAAGGCAACGAUGCAUAGCCGACCUGAGAGGGUGAUCGGCCACACUGGAACGGGGACACGGUCCAGACGCCUACGGGAGGCAGCAGUAGGGAAUCUUCCGCAAUGGGCGAAAGCCUGACGGAGCAGCGCCGCGUGAGUGAUGAAGGUCUUCGGAUCGUAAAACUCUGUUAUUAGGGAAGAACAUAUGUGUAAGUAGCUGUGAACAUCUUGACGGUACCUAAUCAGAAAGCCACGGCUAACUACGUG
RNAcentral lists this ribosomal RNA (496 nucleotides) under uncultured bacterium. RNAcentral's name for it is "partial 16S ribosomal RNA". It matches the Rfam family "Bacterial small subunit ribosomal RNA", at positions 29 to 507 of the family's 1533-position model. The record is from RNAcentral.